Molecule: long non-coding RNA, 993 nt
Organism: Hipposideros armiger (great roundleaf bat)
Lineage: Eukaryota; Metazoa; Chordata; Mammalia; Chiroptera; Hipposideridae
Exons: 3
Source: RefSeq, a predicted model, not a curated record
GCCCGAGCGCCCGCAGCCGACUGGGCUCGGCUCGCUGGGUGCACGGCCGCCAGAGGCAGCAGAGAGGCUCCCGAGCUCCGCGCCCGCCCGCCGGGGAGGGGCCGCGCGGCCACACCAGCGCCGCGUGCGGGGGACCAGAGGCUGCCGCGCGCCCGGGCGCGGAGCUGCUGCGCCGCCGCCGCCACCGCCUGCACCCGGCGGCCCCGAGCCGGGGUCGGAGGGGCCGGGGCGGGGCGCGGGUGGCUGAACCAGGACAGGCAAUACCUGGGGCCGUAAGAAGGAUGGUCUUACCCGCAGAGUUGCCGCUAGAAGACGGAAAGUUUUUGCACGCAGCCCUUCCAGCGUGUCCUUCCCUAGCCAGGUCUCUGUCGCCCACAGUGAGGCGCUCCUGCGGGAAUCCCCGCGGCUCAAUGGGGAGGAGGCGAGCUGCUUUGCACCCUCUUUACCACCCUAAACCAGAGAGGGGACCCUGGUGACUUCCCCUCCAAGCCACCACCCCCUUUACCCUUUCUUCUCUUUCACGGUGGACCUUGGAUCGUGGUGGAUUCUGCGGAAGCCUUUGGGAGGUGAGACUGGAGGGUAGAUGGAAGUGGUUCUAAAAAGCAGGUGAGCCUUGAGGUUAGACUACAGUGCUGACCCACACCUGUGCGAGACCUUGAGGCUAGAGGCACUCAGCGAAGUCAGGUCUGUACUCCUGACCCACAUAAACGGGUUACAGAAACUUCUUUGGCCUAUUUCCAUGACUGUGUCCAGUGGAAAUGCACUACUCUGCUUUUCAGAAAGCAGGGCCUCUGCUACCACCCUGCAGGAUAAUGGAGGUGAUGAUCCCGAGAAGGAAUAUACCUGUCAAAAAAGGCUCCUCAUAGUUAAUUGGGCCCAAAUUCAUAAUCAGAGUCUAACAGCUGUUGUUUACAGGGGGACUUCACGUAUGCUGCAUUCCAGGAAAAAGCCACAGAUGUGGCUGCCCAGCCUCCUGCACAAUAUUUCUGCUGU